Molecule: ribosomal RNA, 426 nt
Filed under: uncultured bacterium
Lineage: Bacteria
Description: bacterial SSU rRNA
Rfam family: Bacterial small subunit ribosomal RNA
Source: RNAcentral
AGGGAAUAUUGCGCAAUGGGGGAAACCCUGACGCAGCAAUGCCGCGUGAGUGAGGAAGGUCUUCGGAUUGUAAAGCUCUGUCCUAGGGGAAGAAUGGCAUAGUGGUUAAUACCCAUUAUGAUUGACGGUACCCUAGAAGAAAGCACCGGCUAACUCCGUGCCAGCAGCCGCGGUAAUACGGAGGGUGCAAGCGUUGUUCGGAUUUAUUGGGCGUAAAGCGCGCGCAGGCGGAUUUGUAAGUCAGGUGUGAAAUCUCGAGGCUCAACCUCGAAACUGCGCCUGAAACUGUGAAUCUAGAAUAUGGUAGGGGGAAGGGGAAUUUCACGUGUAGGGGUAAAAUCCGUAGAGAUGUGAAGGAACACCGGAGGCGAAAGCGCCUUCCUGGGCCAUUAUUGACGCUGAGGCGCGAAAGCGUGGGGAGCAAAC